RNAcentral lists this non-coding RNA (106 nucleotides) under Limosilactobacillus pontis. RNAcentral's name for it is "Lactobacillus pontis TPP sequence". It matches the Rfam family "TPP riboswitch aptamer (THI element)". Rfam says of the family: Vitamin B(1) in its active form thiamin pyrophosphate (TPP) is an essential coenzyme that is synthesised by coupling of pyrimidine and thiazole moieties in bacteria. The previously detected thiamin-regulatory element, thi box was extended, resulting in a new, highly conserved RNA secondary structure, the THI element, which is widely distributed in eubacteria and also occurs in some archaea. The record is from RNAcentral. Lineage: Bacteria; Bacillati; Bacillota; Bacilli; Lactobacillales; Lactobacillaceae.
CAGUCGCAUUAGGAGUGUCCGUGGACCGGACUGAGAUACGCUCAGUAAGCGUGGAUCCUAGAACCUGUGAGCUAGUACUCGCGUAGGGAAAUGCAGUCGCAAGAAC